This 401-nucleotide ribosomal RNA is filed under the name bacterium. Its description in RNAcentral is "partial 16S ribosomal RNA". It matches the Rfam family "Bacterial small subunit ribosomal RNA", at positions 355 to 776 of the family's 1533-position model. The record is from RNAcentral.
UGGGGAAUUUUGCACAAUGGGGGAAACCCUGAUGCAGCGACGCCGCGUGAUUUAGAAGGCCUUCGGGUUGUAAAAAUCUUUUCUAUGGGAAGAAAAUGACAGUACCAUAGGAAUAAGGACCGGCUAAUUACGUGCCAGCAGCCGCGGUAAUACGUAAGGUCCGAGCGUUGUCCGGAAUCAUUGGGCGUAAAGGGUACGUAGGCGGGUAAGCAAGUUAGAAGUGAAAUCCUAUAGCUCAACUAUAGUAAGCUUUUAAAACUGCUCAUCUUGAGGUAUGGAAGGGAAAGUGGAAUUCCUAGUGUAGCGGUGAAAUGCGCAGAUAUUAGGAGGAAUACCGGUGGCGAAGGCGACUUUCUGGCAUAACCUGACGCUGAGGUACGAAAGCGUGGGUAGCAAACAGG